RNAcentral lists this long non-coding RNA (455 nucleotides) under Lepidothrix coronata (blue-crowned manakin). RNAcentral describes it as "lncRNA (ENSLCOG00000008723.1)". The record is from RNAcentral. Lineage: Eukaryota; Metazoa; Chordata; Aves; Passeriformes; Pipridae.
AAAAACUGGAGCUGUGCUGCUGUGGUGGGAUCCAGCUGUUGGGAUUGGGGUGUUCACAGCUCCUGUUUUUCCUGCCCAGGUCGGGAUAUGGACGAUGACAGUUCCAAAGCGAGUGACAGCCGGGAGGCACCUCUGGAAACCAGCUCUUCAUCGGAUGGAAUAGUCCUUCCCUUCUCCAGGACUGAGACACGGAAGGAGAAAGUAACUGCCAUAAAAUCCAAAGCGUUCUGGGGCGAAUCCGACGACAGCAGCUCCGAGCUCGAGGCCGCCCUGCGCCCGCAGACCCACAGCGCCCAGUCAGACGACUUCGAUGACUUCUAUGCUUGAGAUUCCCUGCUGGCUUCUGGGGAGAAGCAGAAGCGUUGUUUCAGAGCCCACUCACCCUCACAGUGAGUGUGCUGUGGGCUGAAGCGCUGCUCGUCGCUUUGCGGGCAAAGGAAAUGUAAAUACCAAAU